GGGCCAUUAGCUCAGUUGGUAGAGCGCUACAUUCGCAUUGUAGAGGUCGGCGGUUCAAAUCCGCCAUGGUCCA
RNAcentral lists this transfer RNA (73 nucleotides) under Candidatus Liptonbacteria bacterium CG11_big_fil_rev_8_21_14_0_20_35_14. RNAcentral's name for it is "tRNA-Ala". It matches the Rfam family "tRNA". From Rfam's summary of the family: Transfer RNA (tRNA) molecules are approximately 80 nucleotides in length. Lineage: Bacteria; Candidatus Liptoniibacteriota. The record is from RNAcentral.